This 467-nucleotide ribosomal RNA is filed under the name uncultured bacterium. Its description in RNAcentral is "partial 16S ribosomal RNA". It matches the Rfam family "Bacterial small subunit ribosomal RNA", at positions 355 to 813 of the family's 1533-position model. The record is from RNAcentral.
UGGGGAAUUUUGGACAAUGGGCGAAAGCCUGAUCCAGCAAUGCCGCGUGUGUGAAGAAGGCCUUCGGGUUGUAAAGCACUUUUGUCCGGAAAGAAAUCCUUGGCUCUAAUACAGUCGGGGGAUGACGGUACCGGAAGAAUAAGCACCGGCUAACUACGUGCCAGCAGCCGCGGUAAUACGUAGGGUGCAAGCGUUAAUCGGAAUUACUGGGCGUAAAGCGUGCGCAGGCGGUUUGCUAAGACCGAUGUGAAAUCCCCGGGCUCAACCUGGGAACUGCAUUGGUGACUGGCAGGCUAGAGUAUGGCAGAGGGGGGUAGAAUUCCACGUGUGAGCAGUGAAAUGCGUAGAGAUGUGGAGGAAUACCGAUGGCGAAGGCAGCCCCCUGGGCCAAUACUGACGCUCAUGCACGAAAGCGUGGGGAGCAAACAGGAUUNGAUACCCUGGUAGUCCACGCCCUAAACGAUGUC